CCUACGGGAGGCAGCAGUGAGGAAUAUUGGUCAAUGGACGAGAGUCUGAACCAGCCAAGUAGCGUGAAGGAUGACUGCCCUAUGGGUUGUAAACUUCUUUUAUAUGGGAAUAAAACAUGGUAUGCAUACCCUCUUUUAUGUACCAUAUGAAUAAGGAUCGGCUAACUCCGUGCCAGCAGCCGCGGUAAUACGGAGGAUCCGAGCGUUAUCCGGAUUUAUUGGGUUUAAAGGGAGCGUAGGUGGAUUGUUAAGUCAGUUGUGAAAGUUUGCGGCUCAACCGUAAAAUUGCAGUUGAAACUGGCAGUCUUGAGUACAGUAGAGGUGGGCGGAAUUCGUGGUGUAGCGGUGAAAUGCUUAGAUAUCACGAAGAACUCCGAUUGCGAAGGCAGCUCACUGGACUGCAACUGACACUGAUGCGCGAAAGUGUGGGUAUCAAACAGGAUUAGAUACCCCAGUAGUC
RNAcentral lists this ribosomal RNA (460 nucleotides) under uncultured bacterium. Its description in RNAcentral is "partial 16S ribosomal RNA". It matches the Rfam family "Bacterial small subunit ribosomal RNA", at positions 338 to 795 of the family's 1533-position model. The record is from RNAcentral.